Molecule: ribosomal RNA, 616 nt
Filed under: uncultured bacterium
Lineage: Bacteria
Description: bacterial SSU rRNA
Rfam family: Bacterial small subunit ribosomal RNA
Source: RNAcentral
CCUACGGGAGGCAGCAGUGGGGAAUUUUGGACAAUGGGCGCAAGCCUGAUCCAGCAAUGCCGCGUGAGUGAAGAAGGCCUUCGGGUUGUAAAGCUCUUUUGUCAGGGAGGAAACGGUUGUGGCUAAUAUCUGCAACUAAUGACGGUACCUGAAGAAUAAGCACCGGCUAACUACGUGCCAGCAGCCGCGGUAAUACGUAGGGUGCAAGCGUUAAUCGGAAUUACUGGGCGUAAAGCGUGCGCAGGCGGUUUUGUAAGUUUGUCGUGAAAUCCCCGGGCUCAACCUGGGAAUGGCGAUGAAGACUGCAAGGCUAGAAUCUGGCAGAGGGGGGUAGAAUUCCACGUGUAGCAGUGAAAUGCGUAGAGAUGUGGAGGAACACCGAUGGCGAAGGCAGCCCCCUGGGUCAAGAUUGACGCUCAUGCACGAAAGCGUGGGGAGCAAACAGGAUUAGAUACCCUGGUAGUCCACGCCCUAAACGAUGUCUACUAGUUGUCGGGUCUUAAUUGACUUGGUAACGCAGCUAACGCGUGAAGUAGACCGCCUGGGGAUACGGUGCAAGNUUAAAACUUAAGGAAUUGACCGGNGNGAGAGUGACGAGACGACGACGAGGAGGAGG